This 501-nucleotide ribosomal RNA is filed under the name uncultured bacterium. RNAcentral describes it as "partial 16S ribosomal RNA". It matches the Rfam family "Bacterial small subunit ribosomal RNA", at positions 29 to 523 of the family's 1533-position model. The record is from RNAcentral.
AUUGAACGCUGGCGGCAUGCCUUACACAUGCAAGUCGAACGGCAGCACGGGUGCUUGCACCUGGUGGCGAGUGGCGAACGGGUGAGUAAUACAUCGGAACGUACCUUAUCGUGGGGGGUAACGCAGCGAAAGCUGUGCUAAUACCGCAUACGCCCUGAGGGGGAAAGCGGGGGAUCGAAAGACCUCGCGCGAUUAGAGCGGCCGAUGCCUGAUUAGCUUGUUGGUGGGGUAAAAGCCCACCAAGGCGACGAUCAGUAGCUGGUCUGAGAGGACGAGCAGCCACACUGGGACCGAGACACGGACCAGACUCCUACGGGAGGCAGCAGUGGGGAAGUUUGGACAAUGGGGGCAACCCUGAUCCAGCAAUGCCGCGUGAGUGAAGAAGGCAUUCGGGUUGUAAAGCUCUUUUGUCAGGGAAGAAACACCGGCUCUAACACAGUCCGGGAAUGACGGUACCUGAAGAAUAAGCACCGGCUAACUACGUGCCAGCCGCCGCCGUAA